Molecule: ribosomal RNA, 327 nt
Filed under: Pseudomonas aeruginosa
Lineage: Bacteria; Pseudomonadati; Pseudomonadota; Gammaproteobacteria; Pseudomonadales; Pseudomonadaceae
Description: partial 23S ribosomal RNA
Rfam family: Bacterial large subunit ribosomal RNA
Source: RNAcentral
GCUGGGUUUAGAACGUCGUGAGACAGUUCGGUCCCUAUCUGCCGUGGGCGCUGGAGAAUUGAGGGGGGCUGCUCCUAGUACGAGAGGACCGGAGUGGACGCAUCACUGGUGUUCGGGUUGUCAUGCCAAUGGCACUGCCCGGUAGCUAAAUGCGGAAGAGAUAAGUGCUGAAAGCAUCUAAGCACGAAACUUGCCCCGAGAUGAGUUCUCCCUGAGACUUUAAGUCUCCUGAAGGAACGUUAAAGACGAUGACGUUGAUAGGCCGGGUGUGUAAGCGCAGCGAUGCGUUGAGCUAACCGGUACUAAUGAACCGUGAGGCUUAACCUU